AGGUUUCCGUANGUGAACCUGCGGAAGGAUCAUUC
RNAcentral lists this ribosomal RNA (35 nucleotides) under Caloglossa monosticha. RNAcentral's name for it is "partial 18S rRNA". The record is from RNAcentral. Lineage: Eukaryota; Rhodophyta; Florideophyceae; Ceramiales; Delesseriaceae.